UCCCUGGCAGUCCAGUGGUUAGGACUCUGCACUCUCAAUGCUGAGGGCCUGGGUUCAAUUGCUGGUUUGGGAA
This is a transfer RNA of Ovis aries (sheep), 73 nucleotides long. It matches the Rfam family "tRNA". From Rfam's summary of the family: Transfer RNA (tRNA) molecules are approximately 80 nucleotides in length. Their secondary structure includes four short double-helical elements and three loops (D, anti-codon, and T loops). The record is from Rfam. NCBI's taxonomy places the organism in Eukaryota, Metazoa, Chordata, Mammalia, Artiodactyla, Bovidae.